This 787-nucleotide ribosomal RNA is filed under the name uncultured bacterium. RNAcentral's name for it is "bacterial SSU rRNA". It matches the Rfam family "Bacterial small subunit ribosomal RNA", at positions 562 to 1348 of the family's 1533-position model. The record is from RNAcentral.
AAAGAGCUCGUAGGUGGUUUGUCGCGUUGUUCGUGAAAUCUCACGGCUUAACUGUGAGCGUGCGGGCGAUACGGGCAGACUUGAGUACUGCAGGGGAGACUGGAAUUCCUGGUGUAGCGGUGGAAUGCGCAGAUAUCAGGAGGAACACCGGUGGCGAAGGCGGGUCUCUGGGCAGUAACUGACGCUGAGGAGCGAAAGCGUGGGGAGCGAACAGGAUUAGAUACCCUGGUAGUCCACGCCGUAAACGGUGGGUACUAGGUGUGGGUUUCCUUCCUUGGGAUCCGUGCCGUAGCUAACGCAUUAAGUACCCCGCCUGGGGAGUACGGCCGCAAGGCUAAAACUCAAAGAAAUUGACGGGGGCCCGCACAAGCGGCGGAGCAUGUGGAUUAAUUCGAUGCAACGCGAAGAACCUUACCUGGGUUCGACAUGCACAGGACGCCGGCAGAGAUGUCGGUUCCCUUGUGGCCUGUGUGCAGGUGGUGCAUGGCUGUCGUCAGCUCGUGUCGUGAGAUGUUGGGUUAAGUCCCGCAACGAGCGCAACCCUUGUCUCAUGUUGCCAGCGGGUAAUGCCGGGGACUCGUGAGAGACUGCCGGGGUCAACUCGGAGGAAGGUGGGGAUGACGUCAAGUCAUCAUGCCCCUAUGUCCAGGGCUUCACACAUGCUACAAUGGCCGGUACAAAGGGCUGCGAUGCCGCGAGGUUAAGCGAAUCCUUUUAAAGCCGGUCUCAGUUCGGAUCGGGGUCUGCAACUCGACCCCGUGAAGUCGGAGUCGCUAGUAAUCGCAGA